GCGUCGGUGGUUCAGAGGUAGUAUACUCGCCUGCCACGCGGGUGGCCCGGGUUCGAUUCCCGGCCGACGCA
RNAcentral lists this transfer RNA (71 nucleotides) under Rhipicephalus sanguineus (brown dog tick). RNAcentral describes it as "transfer RNA glycine (anticodon GCC)". It matches the Rfam family "tRNA". Rfam says of the family: Transfer RNA (tRNA) molecules are approximately 80 nucleotides in length. Their secondary structure includes four short double-helical elements and three loops (D, anti-codon, and T loops). Lineage: Eukaryota; Metazoa; Arthropoda; Arachnida; Ixodida; Ixodidae. The record is from Rfam by way of RNAcentral.